Serinus canaria (Common canary) is the source of this 866-nucleotide RNA transcript. It is a transcript of the gene named cellular retinoic acid binding protein 2, with no coding region annotated. The transcript has 4 exons. The record is from RefSeq and is a predicted model, not a curated record. NCBI's taxonomy places the organism in Eukaryota, Metazoa, Chordata, Aves, Passeriformes, Fringillidae.
GGGACGGACGGACGGAGGGAGCCAGCUGCGGGGCCGGUGCCGAGGGAGCGGCGGAGCCCUCGAACCCCUCAGUCCCCCCUCGGUGCCCUCCCUGCGCCCCCCGGGCCAGCAGCCGCGAUGCCCAACUUCUCCGGGAACUGGAAGAUGAAGAGCUCGGAGAACUUCGAGGAGCUGCUGAAGGCGCUGGGCGUGAACGUGAUGCUGAGGAAGAUCGCGGUGGCGGCGGCGGCCAAGCCGGCGGUGGAGAUCCGGCAGGACGGGGAGAGCUUCUACAUCCGCACCUCGACCCCCGUGCGCACCACCGAGAUCCGCUUCAGGGUGGGAGAGGAGUUCGAGGAGCAGACGGUGGAUGGGCGGCCCUGCAAGCGCUGCCCCCUGUGCCCCCCAGAGCCUGGCCAGGUGGGAGGGCGAGAGCAAGAACAAGAUGGUGUGCGAGCAGCGCCUGCUCAAGGGUGACGGGCCCAGGACGGGCUGGUCCCGGGAGAUGAGCAACGACGGGGAGCUGAUCCUGACCAUGACGGCCGACGAUGUUGUGUGCACCAGGGUCUACAUUCGGGAGUGACCCUCCCCCGUCUCAGCUGACCCCUCCCUCCCCCAUAUUCCCCCUUCCCCUGUCCCCUCAGUUCCCUGCACUCCUCCCCCUGUCACGGGGGGGGUGUUGCAUCCCCCCGCGGGGGUACAGCAGCGAACCCCCUUUUUUUGGGGACACACACACACACACACACACGGAUUUCCCUCCCCCUGCAGGGCGGGGCUCUCUGGGGGCAGCCGAAUCUCCCGUCCCGUCCUGGCCCUGCUCUGCUGCUCUCGCUCGGGGCCUGGCUCGGGGCCGGCUGCGGCGGGGGGUAACGCGGCCCCUCCCUGCC